This 402-nucleotide ribosomal RNA is filed under the name bacterium. RNAcentral's name for it is "partial 16S ribosomal RNA". It matches the Rfam family "Bacterial small subunit ribosomal RNA", at positions 355 to 776 of the family's 1533-position model. The record is from RNAcentral.
UGGGGAAUUUUGCACAAUGGGGGAAACCCUGAUGCAGCGACGCCGCGUGAUUUAGAAGGCCUUCGGGUUGUAAAAAUCUUUUCUAUGGGAAGAAAAUGACAGUACCAUAGGAAUAAGGACCGGCUAAUUACGUGCCAGCAGCCGCGGUAAUACGUAAGGUCCGAGCGUUGUCCGGAAUCAUUGGGCGUAAAGGGUACGUAGGCGGGUAAGCAAGUUAGAAGUGAAAUCCUAUAGCUCAACGAUAGUAAGCUUUUAAAACUGCUCAUCUUGAGUUAUGGAAGUGAAAGUGGAAUUCCUAGUGUGGCGGUGAAAUGCGCAGAUAUUAGGAGGAAUACCGGUGGCGAAGGCGACUUUCUGGCCAUAGCCUGACGCUGAGGUACGAAAGCGUGGGUAGCAAACAGG